Molecule: non-coding RNA, 772 nt
Organism: Lolium perenne
Lineage: Eukaryota; Viridiplantae; Streptophyta; Magnoliopsida; Poales; Poaceae
Source: RefSeq, a predicted model, not a curated record
AAUGGGCAGCCACCCAUCCUAGCCAAUCAAAAAGGAGGCAGCCACCACUCUCUCCCUCUAUAAAAGCACUUGGCCGGCCACCCCUUCCUCUUUUUCUUCUCAUUUUUCUCCACUCUCCACUCAUUCCCCUGCCUUACCCACUCCCUCCCCUCCUUCUCCCACGAAAUAUUGCUCCCCCUAGCUUCCAUGGCCGGCCAUGGCCAUGGAAAGCCACCAAGAUGAAGCUCUCCUCCUCCCUCAAGCUCAUCCUCACCAUGAGAGCAUCCCUCUCCUUCUUCUCCCCAACCCUAGAUGGUUUUCUCUCCUCUUCUUCUUCCUCCCUUGCUAAGAUUGGAUCUUGAUGCAGGUGCAUGUUGGUCCAAGCAUGGAGAAGCUUGAGCUAUCCUCAGAUCUGAAGUUCUUGAGCAAAGGCCAAAUCGAGUGAUUCAAAGUUCCUCGGAUAGGUAUUGAAAAGAUCUACAACUUGGCGUUGGUUUCACCCUCAAAUUCGUUACAUAUUUUCCUCGAUCAAGAUCUGGUCAGAUCUGACUUGGUCGAAUUAAAUCAGGAGCUUGGGAACGAAUUUUUGAAUGAAACAAACUGGGGGAUACUUAGUUGUGCCAUGGUGAUACCUAGAGAGGCAAUUGCUAAGUCGUGGCACUCUCAUACCUUUACUAGAUGCGAACAAUUUCGGAGGAGAAGAAGAAGAAGUGGAAUCGGACAAGGAUUUUAUUUGUACUGUGGGAAUUCUUAUUUGAUGGAGUUGAAGAAGUCCAGGGACAAAUAAGCCAAG